UUAAGAAGUCUCUGUUCAUGUCCUUUGCCUACAUUUUAAUGGGGUUGCUUUUUGCUUGUUGAUUUGUUGAAGUUGCUUUUGUUUCUUUCUUUUUUGGAAAGACAGGGUCUCACUCUGUUGCCCAGACUGGAGUGCAGUAGCAUGAUCCUAGCUCACUCUAUCCUUAAACUCCAGGGCUCAAGGGAUCCUCCUGCUUUAGCCUACUGAGUAGCUGGGACUACAGGCACGUGCCACUAUGGCCAGCUGAUUUUUUUCUUGUCCUUCCUUCCUUCCUCCGUUCCUUCCUUCCUUCUUCCCUUCCUCCCUCCCUUCCUCUCUUUCUCUCCUUCUCUUUCUUUCUCUUUCCUUCCUUCCUUCUUUCCUUCCUUCCUUCCUUCCUUCUUUCCUUCCUUCCUUCCUUCCUUCCUUCCUUCCUUCCUUCUUUCCUUCCUUCCUUCCUUCCUUCCUUCCUUCCUUCCUUCCUUCCUUUCCUUCUUUCCUUCUUUCUCUCACUUUUUUUUUUGAGUCAGAUUCUUGCUAUGCUGCCCGGGCUGGUCUUGAACCCCUGGCUUCAAGCAAUCUUCCAGCUUCAGCCACACAAAGUGUGGGGAUUACAGAAGGUAACAUCAUCACAGAUUCAGGAGGAAAGAAACGCUUUCUGUUGAAGUUUUGAUAUCAUGUCUGAAAUGAGAAGGAAACAGCUUGCUCCCUUGGAUCCGUGGUUCCGCCUGUGGCCUCUAGAGGGCGAUGUUGCAUCAAGUAGGCAUCUGUUUUCAUCGCAGACCAUCCUCAUCCACUGAGCCUCCUCCCUGCAGCUGGCUGAUGUAGCUCAUUGAUGUCUGUGUAGAUAGGGAGCUGUGACGAGAGCAAGAGGUCAGAACACAUCCAGGCUCCUUAAGGGAAAGCCUCUUUCUGUUUCUGAAACUUUUCAAAGCCAGGGACUUGUCCAAUCCAACCUCCUCACAGCUCCUAGCUCCUGAGGCUCAGCGCCCUUGGCUUCUGUCCGCCCAGCUCAAGGUCCUGCAGCAUUGCCACUGCUCAGCCAUGCUCCUGCUGCUCGUCCCAGCGUUCCAGGUGAUUUUUACCCUGGGAGGAACCAGAGCCCAGUCUGUGACCCAGCUUGACAGCCAAGUCUUUGAAGAAGCCCCUGUGGAGCUGAGGUGCAACUACUCAUCGUCUGUUUCAGUGUAUCUCUUCUGGUAUGUGCAAUACCCCAACCAAGGACUCCAGCUUCUCCUGAAGUAUUUAUCAGGAUCCACCCUGGUUAAAGGCAUCAACGGUUUUGAGGCUGAAUUUAAGAAGAGUGAAACUUCCUUCCACUUGAGGAAACCCUCAGUCCAUAUAAGCGACGCGGCUGAGUACUUCUGUGCUAGCAGAAUUGACCAGGUGGGGCUGCAAAGUGAAUGGAGAAAGUGUCGGAUAGAAGAAGAGAGAUGGAAAUAAGCUGGGGUGGCCAUCAUAUACACGUGCUAUUUCUCUAUCAACCAAAGUCUCAUUGGAGACAUUUUAUAUGUUCAUGAUGACUAUAUGUCCUAUGUUAACAGAAUUCUCUUAAUUUAAUUGUAUUGUAUUUACUGCUUUAAGGGUGAUUAAAUAAACGAUGCAUUCGAUGAGA
Non-coding RNA from Pan troglodytes (chimpanzee), 1594 nucleotides. The record is from the annotation of a RefSeq genome assembly. Lineage: Eukaryota; Metazoa; Chordata; Mammalia; Primates; Hominidae.